Molecule: long non-coding RNA, 472 nt
Organism: Bufo bufo (common toad)
Lineage: Eukaryota; Metazoa; Chordata; Amphibia; Anura; Bufonidae
Exons: 3
Source: RefSeq, a predicted model, not a curated record
GGGAGAUGCCAAAGUCCAUAAAAGGAUUAUAAAAAAUCUUAAGACCCGAUGGCAUUCCUGUCGGGAUCAAUUCCGGCGCGAAGAAACAGCCCGUAAAGGCAAAAGUGGCGAUAGCGGUGGAAAGAAAAAGAAGCCCUAUCUAUACACACAACAACUACUAUUUUUGAAGCCGAUAUUUGAGAUGAGACCGACCAUCGACAGCCUCGAGGAUGAGCCUGAAGCAAGCCAACAGUCUGCAGAAAGCACUCUAGUGAUGUCACCACAGGAGCCCUCCUCUCCAGCUCACACUCCACCAAUGGUUAUGACACCACCACCAGAGAUCAGAACACCCAACGUCACACAUCCACAGGCAGACAUAAACACAAGGGGUUCAAAAAGUAAAAGGAAUCCUCCUCGGCCUGUUUCCGGUUCCAGUACUCGAGACCUGAUUGAUUGUCAGGUUCUUGAGUAUUUAUCCCGAAACAAGCCAGAA